AAAAGAAUAGCAUCCUGACUCUUACACAAAUGCAUUCAACUGUCAGGAAAAACUACUUAGGAUAUAUUAAAAAAUAGAAAAUGUAAAAAAAAAAAAACAAGUAAAGUAGUUAUUGAGGUCAGCCUCAGGGUCACAGCUUCCUCUUGUGAAGUUCACAUAUUGUACACUUACAUCACGGGUGCCCAAAUAUGUAAAUAGAACCAAAUAGCCUUCUAAAGAGGCAAAGGCGGAAAGCUUGUAAAAUCUUUACUUCAUGUCACCACACACUGCAGACAGCUUUGCCCUCCAUCUCUGGAAAGCACUGCAUCUUACUAAAACAAAUCUGAAAAUUCUCGGUUACUGUUGGCUCCUGGUCCAGCAUCUCUUCCCCUGUGUGUCUAAAGACACUUCCCCCAUAAGUCUGAAAAAAGGCACAAGCCACCAGCUUCUCCCAGGAAACACUCCUCCCUUCAGUCAAGCGUCAGUGUGGGGACAGACACUGCCCCUGCCCCUGCCUGUCUUUGCAGGACUGGCAGAUCACAGGUGAUGAAAGCAGUGGGGGAUCAGCGGGGACAUCCAACCUGCCACCUAACCCAGCGGCCUUAGUUCAUUCCAUGUUCAGCACAGCUUCCUUCCGGUUUCCUGCUUUGCUUUGGGGUAUUGCACAGGUUUCCUGGAUUGUCCCUCUCCCUUCUCACCCAAAUAGGGUCUGCAUGAAUAGGAAGAUCUGGUGCCUGCACCCCUGGGACUAUGAC
Molecule: long non-coding RNA, 734 nt
Filed under: Marmota monax (woodchuck)
Lineage: Eukaryota; Metazoa; Chordata; Mammalia; Rodentia; Sciuridae
Source: RNAcentral